RNAcentral lists this ribosomal RNA (503 nucleotides) under uncultured bacterium. RNAcentral's name for it is "partial 16S ribosomal RNA". It matches the Rfam family "Bacterial small subunit ribosomal RNA", at positions 29 to 523 of the family's 1533-position model. The record is from RNAcentral.
AACGAACGCUGGCGGCGUGUUUAAGACAUGCAAGUCGCACGGGACUAUUUGAGUAGCAAUACAAGAAUAGUCUAGUGGCGCACGGGUGAGUAACACGUGAAUUACAUGCCCUGCAGAGGGGGAUAGCCCAGGGAAACUUGGAUUAAUACCCAAUGGUAUCGCGAGAUUAAAGGUGGCCGCAAGGCUGUCGCUGCAGGAUUGGUUCGCGCCCUAUCAGCUUGUUGGUGAGGUAACGGCUCACCAAGGCUACGACGGGUACCUGGUCUGAGAGGACGAUCAGGCACACUGGAACUGAGACACGGUCCAGACACCUACGGGUGGCAGCAGUCGAGAAUAAUUCACAAUGGGGGCAACCCUGAUGGUGCAGCGCCGCGUGGAGGAUGAAGGUCUUCGGAUUGUAAACUCCUGUCAUCCGGGAGUAAGACCUGGCGAUGAAUAGUCGACAGGGUUGAUAGUACCGGAAGAGGAAGGGACGGCUAACUUCGUGCCAGCCGCCGCUGUAA